Molecule: ribosomal RNA, 403 nt
Filed under: uncultured Methanosaeta sp.
Lineage: Archaea; Methanobacteriati; Methanobacteriota; Methanomicrobia; Methanotrichales; Methanotrichaceae
Description: bacterial SSU rRNA
Rfam family: Archaeal small subunit ribosomal RNA
Source: RNAcentral
ACCGACAGCAAUAUGAAGGCCAGGCUGAAGACUUGCCGGAUUAGCUGAGAGGUGGUGCAUGGCCGUCGUCAGUUCGUACUGUGAAGCAUCCUGUUAAGUCAGGCAACGAGCGAGACCCACGCCCACAGUUGCCAGCGUACUCUCUGGAGUGACGGGUACACUGUGGGGACCGCCGCUGCUAAAGCGGAGGAAGGAAUGGGCAACGGUAGGUCAGUAUGCCCCGAAUUAUCCGGGCUACACGCGGGCUACAAUGGUCAGGACAAUGGGUAUCGACACCGAGAGGUGGAGGCAAUCUCCUAAACCUGUCCUUAGUUCGGAUUGUGGGCUGCAACUCGCCCACAUGAAGCUGGAAUCCGUAGUAAUCGCGUUUCAAAAUAGCGCGGUGAAUAUGUCCCUGCUCCUU